GGGCGAUUGGCUCAGUUGGUUAGAGCACUACCUUGACAUGGUAGGGGUCACAGGUUCGAGUCCUGUAUCGCCCAUCA
RNAcentral lists this transfer RNA (77 nucleotides) under Planctomycetaceae bacterium. RNAcentral describes it as "tRNA-Val". It matches the Rfam family "tRNA". Rfam says of the family: Transfer RNA (tRNA) molecules are approximately 80 nucleotides in length. Lineage: Bacteria; Pseudomonadati; Planctomycetota; Planctomycetia; Planctomycetales; Planctomycetaceae. The record is from RNAcentral.